GAUGAAGAACGCAGCGAAAUGCGAUACGUAAUGUGAAUUGCAGAAUUCAGUGAAUCAUCGAGUCUUUGAACGCACAUUGCGCCCCCUGGUAUUCCGGGGGGCAUGCCUGUCCGAGCGUCAUUGCUGCCCUCAAGCACGGCUUGUGUGUUGGGCCUCCGUCCGCCUCCCGGGGGACGGGGCCGAAAGGCAGCGGCGGCACCGCGUCCGGUCCUCGAGCGUAUGGGGCUUCGUCACCCGCUCUUGUAGGCCCGGCCGGCGCUUGCCGACACAUCAAUCUUUUUUCCAGGUUGACCUCGGAUCAGGUAGGGAUACCCGCUGAACUUAAGCAUAUCAAUAAGCGGAGGA
RNAcentral lists this unclassified non-coding RNA (345 nucleotides) under soil metagenome. RNAcentral's name for it is "partial contains 5.8S ribosomal RNA, internal transcribed spacer 2, and large subunit ribosomal RNA". The stretch from base 1 to 120 matches the Rfam family "5.8S ribosomal RNA", at positions 35 to 154 of the family's 154-position model. The record is from RNAcentral.